UCUGCCCUAGGGCCCUGCGGGGUUGGCGGGAGCACCGGCUGACCUGGCGUUAGAGGCCGGAGGCGGGGAGGCAGCCGAGGGCGCGUGAAAGGCACGUGUUCGCUCCGAAAAGUGAGCGGCUCGAAGACCCGGUAGAGUGGGGGCGUCAGACAUUCUCUAACAGUUUAAAUCCAGCUUUUCAGGUCAGUCACCGUCUCAGGGUGUUUUUGAGUUCUGCCAAAGCAUUUAACAAACUGUUUUUAUGGGGAAGAAACCCUGAGAGUUGGAAGGGCCUUUGUCGCCUCGUCCAGGUCCCGGAGGAAAAAAUUCCGAUUCUUAGAUGAAGGGAGUUGACACCUGCGGACCAGCUAGAGUGAGCCAGGCUCGUUGUUACCCUCUGAGCAGCCCUGCAGGGAAAAUGCUGUCGCCCUGUUUUGCUGAUGUGUAACGUGAGGGCCGCGAAGAUGAAUGAGAUGACUUCCCCGAGGACCUGAGACUUGCAAGUGGUUGAAUUCCCAAGUAAUUUUAUUAUUUGUGCUUCAUCAUAGGUGGGGGCAAGACUGAAGGCCGUGUAGAACAGUUUGGACUUAUUCUGAACCCUUUCUCCAGAUGUUACAAGCUGAUGGUUGGUAGGCUGAGAUGAGCCUCUCAAAGGCCUGAGACCCUCUCUCAGGCUGAUGUAAGUAACCCUCGGAGGUAAUGGAAAUGCCUGAGAAGAGAUUGAGAUACUGGAAGACUCACUGGGCUCCGGAAGGUGAAACGCCGCUCACAGAAAUAUUAAUUAAAAAAAAAUUCCUUACUGGUAAGCAUAUUUGGAUGGUGAGACUUUUCGUAAGACAAGUGAAGUCUUCUCAGGCUUAUGCCUACUAUAUUUUACACAGAAAAGUGGGGUAUGGGAAAUUUGCUGUUUUUGUCAAGGUAUCAUUUAAAAAAUAUAGGAGCAUGUGUCAAAGAUUUACCUAACCCAUUAAUUAGGGAACCAGCAGGAUGAUAAAAAAGAAUUUGAAAAACUGGUUUAUAGAGUCAGUGUAAAAACGUGAGCCAUGGCCGCAGAGCCUGCGCGUCCGGAGCCUGUGCUCUGCAACGGGAGAGGCCACAACAGCGAGAGGCCCGCGUACCGCAAAAAAAAAGAUAAAAAAGAAAAAAAAAAAGAGAAACGCGGAAGCCCAGACAAGACCUCACCUAAAGCUGUAAUCAUCCUGUAAUAUGAGCGGGUUCCCCCAGUGCUUAUGAAGGCUUUGGGAGGGGGACGUCCCAUCUGGUUAGAUCUUAGAGUAUUGACUGCAGGGGAGGGGUCUGCCUAGGAGGGGAGUUGAUCCUGUUCUGCAUGCAGAGAAUCCCUGAUACCCCCUCGUGGCCGCAGGUGCCCGGGAGGAGCCGUCCGCUGCUGUCAUGAGUCUUAGGGGCACGGUGUUGUGCUCAGUGUUGGAGCUAAAUGUUUACUUUUUAACAUUACAGAGUAGAAUCUACCAUGUUUGACACUCCUGCAGUCGUAGUAUUAUUUUAAUUUCCGCUCUUUAAACCAUCAGGUGCUGUUAUAAUGAUGUGUGAAAAGCCUGUCGUGCUCAGUCACGAGGGACAUUCUGACAUCGUUAUUUAGUUAACCAUGCAGACCGGGAGCCGGAAGCACCCGGGCUCCCUCUGUCUCACUGACACAUCACUUCUGUUGGUUGCUAUGUCCUGGUGAUCCUGCCUCCUAAGUAUUUUUUCAUUUCCCCCCCUUUUCCCCUACCACUGUCUUACCUCAGGCACUUAUCAUGUUUGGGUUACUGUUGCUUAGAUUACUGGGUUCCUAUAACAGCCACUGACCGGUUUUGCUGAUCUCAGCCCUGCAUCUGCAAUCCACUCUCUUCCUGCUUCCUGACUGAUCUCCCUACCUUGUAAACCUGACACGAUACUCAUAAUUCUCCCCUAAUCAUCCCCCGCUUGGCUGAAAAUCUCACAGUGGGACCCCUUCGCCUCCGAACAAAUCCAAACUUCUUAGCCUGACGUAUAGGGUCCUCAAGACUUGGCCCUAGCCUACGGCCCAGUUUAUCUCUCACCAGCCCCACACUUGAACCUUUUCGUUUCCGGUGAGCUUGGGAUGCUCAGUUUCUCUCUCUGUAUUUGCACGUUCUCUCAUUCCAGGCUAUCUUAUCCAGGAAGUCUCCUCUGACCCUCCACUGGGUGUGUCCCCUCCUUCUGUGAUUUCACAGGAGAUCUCCGGUGAUCUUCUCAGGCUUCUCUUUCUCAAAGUAGCUGUCACUAUGUUAUGUGUGUGAUCAAGAAAUUGAAGCACAGAGAGCCUAAGUAGCUUGCCCAGCGUCUCCCAGUUACUAAGUGGAUGACCUGCUCUGGAAGCUCAGACGCUGAACCACAGUGUUUUCUCUGUGUGAUCAGAGAACCAAGGGCAUGGAUUACGGUGAAAACAUACAUACAGAGUUUCUAAGCAAGUUGAAAGGCUCUGAGAACCUCCUUGCUUUGGAGGAUGUCCCACCAGAGUGAAGACAUUCAGAUGGAGAAGACUGCUGCCUUGGUCGUCACCUGUCCACUAAACACAGAGCGCCGUCCAGACCCCCUUCAGGCAGAGGGCUGGAAGCAGUGUGGGCACUAGCUGCCUUGGUGUGGGAAUGAAGGGACCAUGAAAACCCUUUGGGCCAGUCUCUGACCUCUGAUAUCCUUCAGCUUCCAUUCCUCUUCAGUGAAAACAAUCAGAUUGGUCUGAGAGGAGAGACCACCUUCUUGUUUUGCAGGUCUUAGGAGAGUUGAGGAAUCUUUUUUUUUUCCCAGCCUUAAUCCACGUGGCACAUGUGUAUUUGGAUGAGAAAGGGUGCCUCAGCCAGGCAUAUGCAGCCCCAUGAGAACCUGGCUUGGCGAACUCAGCUGGCCUGACUUUGGCCCUGCCCUUUGUCCCUUCGUCCAGGUGCCCUGAGAUAACACGCACCCGUGCACACCUGUGCUUGUUUCACGGCCCUCUGGUGGCCCUGAGGUCACAUAUUGAAAAUUGCAGUUCAUUCCUCAGCGUCUUCGGGAGGUGCUUAUGAGUGGUUGCCGUAGGCCAGGUGUGUCCUAAACACCAGGAGGAUGGUGGUGAACCAGAGCCUUGCUUCCAGGGAGCUCACAUUCUGCUGCAAGGAGGAUCCCAUCCAGGGCACCACGUGGCAUUUGGUCAUGUCCUGAGUCUCCUCUGGUUGGUGACAGUUUCUCAGCCUUCCUUUGUUUUUCAUGACCUUUCCAGCAUUGAGGAGUACCAGUCAGGUAUUUCACAGAAGGUUCCUCAAUUUGGAGUUGUCUGAUGUUUUGUUUAUGACUGGACUGGAGCCAUAGGUCUCUGGGGAGGAUCUCACAGAGGUGAAGUGGCCUUCUUCUCACAUCGUGUCGGGGUGCUUUCUGCCAACACAGCUUCUCACUGUGAUAGUAACCCCGAUCACUUGGUGAAGGCGGCGUUUGCAAAGUUUCUACGGUACAAUUACUACUUCCCCCUUUUCAUACUCUGUUCUUUGGAGGCAAGAACUGAGUCCAGCCUGUGCUUGAGGAUGUAGGAGGUGAAGCUUCAUGUUGUGGACAGGGAGUAUUUGCUUAAGUGAUUUGGAAUAUUCUGCAAGGAAUAUUGGCCUCUUCCCUCCCAUUUUAAAAUUUGAGCCAUCAUUUAUUUAUAUCACCAGGGUAGGCGGAAUAUUAGCCCCUCCAAAGAUGGCCACGGCCUAAUCCCUGGAGGCUGUAAGUUUGUUACCUUACACAGCAAAAGGGAUUUUACAGGUGGGACUGAGUUAGGGAUCUUGAAAUGGGAGGUUAUCCUGGUUUAUCUGGUGGGCCCAGUGGAAUCAUAGGUGUCCUUUUAAGAGGCAGGUAGGAAUUUCUGCACCUGUCUCGUUGUUCGGCUCUGCUCGCUGAUGCUCAAUCCUGUGAACUUUAGCUGCCUUGGCCUCCUUGGACUCCCAGUUCUAAUGUCUCCUCAGCUCAGCGAGACCCUGGGCUCUGACUGGGUCUCCCUUUCCGUACCAGGGUCUGGAAAAUUUCUCAAGGCAGGAAUCUGGAGGUCAUUGUUGACAUCAUUUUAUUUGUUUCCCUUCUCUCUGGGGUGACUGUCCUGUGCUACCUGUUAUCCAGUGUCUGAAAACCUCUGUUUCAUGUAUUUUGGCCCUUUUUCCAGUCAUCUCUGGUGAGAGGGUAAAUCUGGUCUCCCUUGGCCCAUUUUGCCUGGAAGUAGAAGUCUUCUUAUUCUUCCCACAAAUAAUUUUUAAUGAAUGGCUGAACUAUAAUUUAUUUAAGAAGUGUCUGUUUUUUGUGACUGCCGAAUGAUUUUCAUUGUAUUGAUGUGGAAUCAGUUAUUUAACGGGCAGCCUAUGGUUUGACAUUUGGGUCAAGUUUUAGUUUUCCUUUUUAUAAACACAUCUACGAGACUAUCUUGUAGCCACACACUGUGACCUGCAUGCUUAUUUCCUUAUGAUAUAUUUUUAGAUACAGAAGACUGGCUCGUGGGGGGUGGAGCACCUAAAACCAGUCUUGUGUUGUCAAGUCGUGCUCCAGAGAGAUGGUGCCAACUUACAUGUUGCCCACGUGUAACUUCCUCAAAGUCACCUUUUCUCUUGGCUUUUUCAUGUCAUCUUCUUUGGUACGAACCUCCUCAUAUUGGUGGGACCCUCUGUCAUCAUAAUUCUGAGUUCCAGAAUUAUAACAUCUGACACUUUGAAAAGAUGAAUAUUUAGACCAUCCCAUUAGUCUUGAUUAACCCUAUAGUAAUUACAUUUCAUAUUUCUGUGAAAAUGUGUAAUCUGAGCCAUGAAGGAAUUUAAAAAAAAAACACGUCAAUAGCUCCUAACCUCUCGGUUGGGCUAUAGACCGAAUGUUUCUGUCCCUUCCGAUGUGAUGGUGUUAGGAGGUGGGGCCUUUGGGAGAUGAUUAGGUCAUGAGGGUGGGGCCUUCAUGAAUGGAAUUUGUGCCCUUAGAAAGGGAUUCCAAGGAGCUCUCUCUCCGCCUUCUGCCCUGUGGGGACACAGCGAGAAGAUGGUCAUCUGUGAACCAGGAAGCAGGCCCUCAGCAGACACUGAACCUGCCAGACCUUGACUGGACUUCCCAGCCACCAGAACUGGGAGAAAAAGGCUAGCUGUGUGACAACAUAGCCCCCAGUCGAUGGUAUUUUGGCUACAGCAGACUGAGCAGACUAAGACAGUAAGCCCUCAAAUUAGAAACAUGUAGAAACGUGGGCCAAUAGAACAACAGCAAAGAGCAGAUGCAUUCCACCUGUCUGAUCAAACUGCAGCUGGAAGUGAGAGACAAAGCCAGGCUCUCUGCUUGGUGCGGGGAGAGCGGGGAUGGGAGAAUGUGGGGAAAACCAACAGCCCAGGACCACACUGCAGUGCUGGCAGGCAAACUGUGCCCUGUCCCUUUUCACUGUGUAUGUUUCUUAAGAAGGGUUUAUAUGUAUCUUUUUAAUUCCUAUUUUUUUUAUUGGAGUGAAAUUCACAAAACACAACAUAAACCGUUUUGAAGGGUAGAGUUCUGUGGCAUUUCGUGCACUCACAAUGUCAGGCCACCAUCGCCACCAGCUGGUUCCAGGACGUUUUCAUCACCCUGAAAGAAAACCCCAUUAAGCAACCACCAGUCUGCAUGUGGUCUCUGUGGAUUUACUUCUUCUGGAAACUUCAUACAAGUGGAAGCGCACAGUAUGCUUCUCACGACCGGCUUCUUUCACCAAGAAUAAUGUUUUCAAGGUUCAUCCGUGUUGUGACAGCAUCAGAACUUCACUCCUUUUCAUGGCUGCAUAAUAUUCCAUUGUGUGGAUGGACCACAAUUUGCUUGUCCAUUCACCUGCUGAUGGACAUCUGAGUUAUUUCCACCUUUUGGCCAUCGUGAAUAGUGCCGCUAUGUACAUUAACAUACAAGUAUUUGUUUGAGUAUUGGUCCCUAUUUUUAACCCAAGUGGGGACAUUAUAUUUGCCUCGAUACUUCCCACAUUGCAGCUUUGGCUCAACUGUCUUGCUCAGGGGUUCUCAGUACUGUAGGCACAUCACCCAGGGAACUUUUAACAAAUGUAUGCUGGGACCCCACCCCCAAACAAUGACAUCAAGUCUUUGAAAGCUCCCCAGGUGACUGUACCUGGUGGCCAGGGUGGAACAGCAUGGGCCCCUCGCCCAGCGUUCUGGGUUUACCAUGCAGCAGACUCACCUGGAGGCCUUGCGAAAACACAGAUUUUUGAGAUUCUGUCUCGGUAAGUCAGGGGUGGCACACACACGUUUGUAUUUCCAGUAAGUUACCAGGUGAUGCCGAUGCAGGAGCCAUGCUUUGGAAAUCACUGGCCUCUUGCCCAUUAGAACGAGGUGGGGGCAUCAGGGUCACUGGGAAGGUCUGGCAAGUCCUUCCCGUCUUUCAUGCUUUGCUCUGGUUGGCAAAGGCAGCAUCUGUAUUUUAGAAACUUCCCAGCUCACUUUGCUCACCCCCUCUCCUCCCACUUGCAGUUGAGAACCAUCCUUCGAGCUUCCAUGUAUUUCUGGAUACGGCUUCUCCAUCCAUCCUGUUUCCUACCCCUACCAGCCAUGUAAGCCCUCACCCUUGUAUUCACGUUGUUCUUCCGUCUAAAACGCCUUCCUCCUUCUGUUGUUAUGCUUUAGUGGGUGUCUUUCACCCACUAAAGCAUCACCCUGAUAACUUCUCUGACAUGCUCCCCAGUCCCUGAAUUCUCGUUGUAUCUACAAGGCUGCGAGGCACUAGGCUGUAGAACACAGCGUACUGUUUUCAGUUAUUCACAGAUUGGUUCAUCUGGGCAAUGAGUUGCUUUGUGUUUCUUUCAUACUCUCCUUGUGCUAUGUACUUAUUAGGACCCCAGUAUAAAGGAGGAAAAGAUGUUAGAGUAUUUCUCUAGGAGAGCAUUUGCCCAGUCGUCCUGUUAUACAAAGAUUGCUGAGUGAGUGACCUUGAAUUCUACCCAAGGGGCCUGGUUACCGAAAUGCCUUGUCGCAAGGCAACUUGCCUACAAAAGGCUCCACAGCACAGAUACCAAAGGCAGGGUUUUUGCAGUGGCCAGCUGUGAUACUAGGUCUACUUUUUCUACAUACAAACAGUGCACAUUACUAAUUAAAUAAUAUACAAUUUAGAAUUGUUAUUUUCCUUGGAAACCACGCAGUAUCUCCCACAGGGCAAUUAGGAGAAAAAUCCCUGUUUUUCUCAGAAGCAAAUUGGAUAAAACAUAAAAUGAGGUGUCAGGUGUGGUGAUACCUAAAGCCUUGAACUUGUUCUGACUUUUGUCUAUGUCCACUCACUGGGCCUGUAGUUCUCACCUAGAAUUUUACGUGCUGCCCAGCUAAUGACGUUGAGAAGGGCACUGUGGAUGAAGCUCUGUCAGGGGUCGGCAGACUGUGGGGCCUGGGUCAGAUCUGGCUCCCACCCCUUUUUAAUUUUAUUUUAUUUUAUUUAUAUUUUUGGCUGCAUGGGGUCUUAGUUGUGGCACGCGGGCUUCUCUCUAGUUGUGUCGCAUGGGCUCCAGAGCACGUGGGCUCUGUACUUUGCGGCGCAUGGCUCUCUCGUUGAGAUGCAUGGGCUCAGUAGUUGAGGCGUGCAGGUUUAGUUGCCCCAAGGCACGUGAGAUCUUAGUUCCCCGGCCAGGGAUUGAACCCGCAUCCCCUGCAUCAUUGGAAGGUGGAUUCUUUACCACUGGACCACCGGGGAAGUCCCUCCCACCCCCUUUUGUAAAUAAAGUCUUACUGGAGCGGUCCCAUCCAUUUGUUUACCUAGUGUCUGUGGUGGUUUUCUCUGUACAAAGGCAGAGUGGAGUAGUUGCAACAGAGACCGUGCAUCAGUCUGCUGGGGCUGCCAUAACAAGCAAUACAGACUGGGGGGCUUAGCUAUAGCGUUAUCUUCUUACAGUUCUGAAGCCUGAAGUCUGCAGUCCAGGUGGCAGCAGGGCUGGUUUCCUCUGAGGCCUCUCUCCUUGGCUUGUAGACGGCCGUCUUCUUCGUGUCCUCACACGAUUGCCCCUUGGUCUGUGUGUGUCUCUCUUCAUGUGAGGGCAUCAGCUGUAUUGGAUUAGGCCCCUGCCUAAUGGCCUCACUUUACCUUAAUUACUUCUAUAAAGACCCCCAUCUCCAAAUAGUCACACUCUAAGGUAUAGGGUUGAGGCUUCCACACAUGAAUUUGGUUGGGGGCACGAUUCAGCCCAUUAUAGACCGAAUGGCCACAAAGCCUAAAAUACCUGCCAUCUGGUCCUUCACAGGAGAAGCUGUUGACCUCUGUGAUACACUUUGAUUUCUCCUAUAGAAUACAGUGAAAUACAACUCCAGAUGAAACCACUGGAGUUCUUCUCCUCCCUUCUCUCCAUGAGCAGCGUUGGUCACUGUGACAGUGUCCUGGGCCACGCUGCCACAUCUCUGAGAAGAACUUUAGUGAAUCCGUUCCCAUCAGAGACCCCAGAGCCACAGCCGUGCUGUAAUGAGCUAAAACCUCCACCUUCUGGAAGAACCGUUAUUUCCUUACACCUGCUGAGGCAGGAGAUAGAUGGGGUCCAGGCCAACUGGCCUCCUGGUCACACCUCCUGGGGGGAGGAAGAAGGUGGGCUCCAGGUCAGACAUUCGUUACCAGCCCCCCGUUCACAUUUCCUGAGGCAAGAGACAAACGGGCUCCAGGGUUUAUGACUGGACUCCUGUCUAUAUUUCGAAAUCUGCACUUUGAUAUGAAAAACAGCAACAGGAAUAGGGUAGAUAACCAGACAUUGGGCACUUUCACAGCAGGGACAGAGAGGGGCUAAACCCUGUUGAAAGAUCAAGAGGUUGUACAUUUCCCAUCCUUGGGGCGAGGGAGACAUGGCACGUGUGCAGAAAGGCUCCUUGGGGGUCAAAAAGGCAGGGAUGCCAGACCACAGUAAGUCUGCUGUCUCCCCCCAGAGGCCUUUGCAAUGAAAUCCAUCUUGAUUGAGGGGUGCGUGCACACCCAGGGGAGGGUCCAGAGACAAAUUAGCCACGGGGUCAAAACAAUAUGACUGGCCAAGGAGAAGGCAAAGACCUGGAAGACUGCCCCCUUUAAAAGGAUUUAAACCCCCCAGAGGCACGACUCUCGCGAUGCUCUCACUGAGCUUGUCCGUGCGUCUCUCUGCAUGUAUUUGCUUUUCUAAUAAACAUUUUACUUUCUUCUAUACCUUCCGUCACCUUGUCAGAUUCUUCCUUUCAAGAUAGGCAAAGGACUGGGGGCUCAGAUUCUGACUGCUGGCCCCGUGCUCUAGCGGUUGAGAUCCUGGUUUCCAUCCAGGUGACCUGGGUUCGAUUCCUGGUCAGGGAGCUAAGAUUUUGCUUCCAGCUACUGCUCGCUGCUGCUUGCUGCAAGCUGCCGCGUGCUGCCACCUGCGUCUGAAAUCACUAGAUCCCUUUUUUUUUUCAACUUCCACCACCAGCAUUAGCAUUGGCCCCUUGGGGGAGCUGUUUCCAUCGGAGAAGUGAACUUCUUCUCCCUCAUGAUGGUUGGCUGAGUGUGCCAAUGAGAGAGAGAAGAGCAAAGUGGUUCCUCUGUAGCUUCUGCUACCCAGAUGGGGCCCCAGAAAAAAUCCCCUGUUGUUCACAGGACGUAGAGAACUGUUGGAGAGAACUCAACACUGUGUUGCGAACUAAGAAACUGACAAGCUUCCUCCAUUAUUAUCAUUCGAGAAGUAAUUCAUCUGGGCCCUGGUCAGGGUAGGUCCAUGAGAGACUCAGCCGUGGCAUUCUAAGGCGAAGUUUAAGAAUCUAGGUGAACACUCCUAUUAUUUUCUGUUUCCUUUGGAGACUGAGAUACGUUAGGUCUCCAGCUGGGAUGGGGCUGCUCUCAGGGCCCGUGUCCCAGUAGAGACUCUAUGCGUCCAAACCUCCUCUUUCUGCUGAAGAGGAAACCAAAGCCAACAAGUGAAGGAAGAACUGAGGGAAGGUCACGUCAGAUUGGACCUGACCCUGGGCUGGCGCCUCCCCUCUGCUCUGUCCGGUGUCCCUGGAACGUGCCCUCUGGCCUGCUGUCCUCUGAGGCCACAAAGGGUCCCCUGGGCAAAGUCACUCGUUGCAGGAAUUUGGAAGCUGGCAGAGUGACAGUGUCGUGGUGGAGUUAGGUCAGAGAUGGAGAGGACUGUGUGUCUGUUGCGACAUGAAGGGCCUUCUGAACGCGGGUGGCAGCCCGGGGCACUGCAGUCAAAAUGCAAUGGAACAGGUCCAAGGGAGCUGGUUUUUGCAGGUCAGAAGCGUGAAUUUGCUGGAAGGACAUUUGCAGAAAGAACAGGUGCUGUGGUGCUCCAGCGCUCCCAAGCUCUCCUGUAAGGGCCGAGAAGAGCCGCAGACAGUGGGGCCAGCUCAGGGCACCAAGAACCAGGCAGCAGGACACUCUGGCCUGCACAGCACACAGCUUCAAGGUGGAAUAGAGAUGGGGCCGAGAUGGACAUUCACACGGCCAUUCAUUCAGCUGUUGAGCUCCUAUUGUAUGCAAAGUCCUGGAGUUGUCCUGCUGAGCGCAGCCCUUUGUAGCUUUCGGAAAAGGGAAGAAGGCAGACGUUGAUGAAAUCAGCUCAGGAGUAAAUGGAAAAUCAGGUGGUGAUCGAGGCCCUGGAGGAAGGGUGGGUGCAGGGUGGAGACUAGAGAAAGGGACCCCCCUGAAACAGCGAGGAUACCGAGAGAGCGGUACAAACUGUAGCUGCCGCCUGGACUGAGCCUCCCCUAAGGGGUCUGUUCCCAAGGAGUGCUGACUGCGAGGCGUGUGGAAAAUGCCGAGCGUUUGUAUGAGAAAUGGGAUCCCAGACCCAGAAGGGGCUUCAGUGUCUUCUGAUCCAAUGUCCAUCCAGCUCCAAGCGACAGUCAUCUCUACAGCAUCCCUAACGGGGGUUACCCCGUCACCUCCAGGCACGGGGAACAGAACACUGUGUCACUGUUCUCUUAGGCUUCUUGGGACACAGGUCAGGAAGUUGGGGACAAAUACUUGGCUGGGACAAAAGCAGUCCGAGAAGAGAGAAGUGAAUGCUCUGAGCUGGAAUCCAGGCCUAGGGGUACCCGGGACAGCGGAGCCAUGAAAACGCACAUUCAGAAAACAAACCGCUCUGAAGCUGGCGCAUCGCUGCCUUUUGGGAAUGCCAAGGAAACGCCACACAAGCGGACCAGGGUACAUUUGGGAUCUCACGAAUUCCCCUCUCCUCCCGCCACUGAGAUUCCUAGCCUAGUGUUUAAUUGAGAAUGAUGUAUUCAAAUCAGUUCCAUGCUGUGUUGUGCUUAUUUUUAUUAUUAUUAUUACAUAUUCGUGUUUUUAUUCCUAUCGUAAAUAUUUCUAGAAGUGGGUUAGAAGUUAUGUACACUUCAAUUUUAAUAAAUUAUACAAGUGGUGUACUUACUUUUUUUUUUUUUUUUUGCUGUAUGGGGGCCUCUCACUGCUGUGGCCUCUCCCGUUGCGGAGCACAGGCUCCGGACGCACAGGCUCAGCGGCCAUGGCUCAUGGGCCCAGCCGCUCUGCAACAUGUGGGAUCCUCCCGGACCGGGGCACGAACCCGUGUCCCCUGCAUCGGCAGGCGGACUCUCAACCACUGCGCCACCAGGGAAGCCCUGUACUUAUUUUUGGUAUCAGUAGAUGCCAUGGUGGUUUGACAUAUUUGAUGCCAAGAGCAAA
Long non-coding RNA from Orcinus orca (killer whale), 11553 nucleotides. RefSeq lists it as uncharacterized. The transcript has 5 exons. The record is from RefSeq and is a predicted model, not a curated record. Lineage: Eukaryota; Metazoa; Chordata; Mammalia; Artiodactyla; Delphinidae.